UACCAACCCUCCUGGGGGGCUACUUUACUGGCUACGCUGGGACUUCAUGGCUGCCUGUGUUUGAGUCUGGGUCCUGGAACCGGUUCUGGUCGCCAUGUUGGAAUAUUUCUCAAUCUCCAACUAAGAUGUCCACCUCCGUUUGGGUGAAGAUCCACUUCUUCAUCUCGGAGAAGAAGAAGCCAAGCCAGACGAAUGCAACCAAGGCUGAUUAAAUAUGGCCGCAGCGUUCAUGAGCUUCCUCCGGGCCCGAUAAUGGACUCCCUGCACCAUCGGCCUUUUCCAGCCAGGACACCAUCCCGGGUCACAAGUCCACCCCCCCACCACCCACCUUAGCCCCCAAUCCGGGUGAGGGGAGGGGCUGCACGCCCUCUUCUGGUGACCUUUUAUGACACGACAGCAGAGCAGCGUUGACAUAUCCUUGCGAAACAGCUCAACUGUUAGCAUUAGCAUUAGCAUUUCAUGACAUUUUACAACAACAUAUAGUAGCGCUUCAUUUUCAAACAAAAAUAACACAAUCUAA
Doryrhamphus excisus (bluestripe pipefish) is the source of this 520-nucleotide non-coding RNA. NCBI's taxonomy places the organism in Eukaryota, Metazoa, Chordata, Actinopteri, Syngnathiformes, Syngnathidae. The record is from RefSeq and is a predicted model, not a curated record.